RNAcentral lists this ribosomal RNA (253 nucleotides) under uncultured bacterium. RNAcentral's name for it is "partial 16S ribosomal RNA". It matches the Rfam family "Bacterial small subunit ribosomal RNA", at positions 524 to 776 of the family's 1533-position model. The record is from RNAcentral.
UACGUAGGGGGCAAGCGUUGUCCGGAAUUAUUGGGCGUAAAGAGCGUGUAGGCGGUCCGGUAAGUCGGCUGUGAAAGUCCAGGGCUCAACCCUGGGAUGCCGGUCGAUACCGCCGGACUAGAGUUCGGAAGAGGCGAGUGGAAUUCCCGGUGUAGCGGUGAAAUGCGCAGAUAUCGGGAGGAACACCUAUGGCGAAGGCAGCUCGCUGGGACGUUACUGACGCUGAGACGCGAAAGCGUGGGGAGCAAACAGG